Rattus norvegicus (Norway rat) is the source of this 1809-nucleotide long non-coding RNA. RefSeq lists it as uncharacterized. NCBI's taxonomy places the organism in Eukaryota, Metazoa, Chordata, Mammalia, Rodentia, Muridae. The record is from RefSeq and is a predicted model, not a curated record.
UCCGUUAUCAAUGUAGUCACUGUUGUGUUUGACAGUAAGGUGCGCUGUGACUUGCAGCUGAAAACAUUUCCGGUAUCGACCUUCACACUGUUGACUGCGCUAGUCUAGCUAUUACUUCCUUCUUCUCAGAAAACAGAGAUCUGCAUUGAGCCAUCAGGCCUGUGCCUGUGAUCUCAGCACUGAGGACGGUGAGCCGGGCAUGCCGGCUUGAGAGCUGGGUCAGCCUAGGCUGCACAGUGAGCUUCUGACAAGUCUGGGCUAUAGGCACUCGGGAGGCACUGGCAGAUGGAUCUCUCAGGAUCGAGGCCAGCCUGGUCUACAGAGCAGGUUCCAGUACAGGACUACAAAGAGAAACUGUCUCAGAAAACCAAAAAUAAAUAAAUAAGUAAAAUUACUUGUGAAUGUGACUGAUUAAGACUUUAUUCCUCACUGUGACAUCCCCGUGUUUAACCAAGAAUCUGAGGGUUCAGGGAACCGUGUGCUUCGCACAGAGCUUCCGCCUUAGCAUAAGUACUAAGAUUGUAUCAGCAUCCUCUGCUUCCAGGAGCUGCAGGAGUUCAUGUUGCUCCAGAACGUAAUGGGGCGCUGCUCGCCCAUACUGUGAACGCCAGUGAAGUGUGUGACUCUUUGAGAGAAGAUAGCAAGAUUACCAAGAAGGGGGAAAACAAGUAAUAACUAUCAUAUUCUAGAACUGAGAAGGAAUUCAAAUGAUAUUCAAAAAAUAAAGAAUGAGCUAAUUCCACGUGAGGCACAGCAGGCAGGAGCCCCAAGAGCCCACAAAACCAGGAAGUAGUGCAGGGCAAGAAUGGCAGAGCACAUGAAAUACGGAUGUGAAAACAAAAGUAAGGGCUACAUGAGACGCUGUCUUAAAGUGGAAGCUCACCUUCAGACGACUGGAGUCCAGCCGCAGGGCUGUGAGUAACGGGUCCAAGGACUCAAACUCUGCAAGAACAUGGCUGUAGGCUUCUGGUAUCACGGGCACAGAAGUCAUUUAGCCAGAAAGAGGAAGAUUGUUCUGUAAUAGGCACAGGAUUUCUCUCUGAAAAGAAAAAAAGCCUGCAAAAAUACAAUUUUAAAAUUGUAACAUAUUAAUGUUACAAUUAAUAUAAUCAGUUAUGCAGCAUAUAUUAACAUUCAACAGAAAAGACAACCUCCUCUGGAAGUUGGGGAUGGGAGACACACGCAGGUACCAAUUAUAUGCAAAGGUUCAUUCACGCUGUGUCAUUCCUUGACUCUCAGGAGUCCCUUCAUAGUCCUAUCCCACUGUACCACGGAACAAUUUACAUAAGAAAGAUGGACAGAGUAAGACUUAGAGGAAAACCAACCAAGCUCCUCAGAGGUAAAGUAGCAAUCCCACUGUGUUUCUUUGUGUCAUAAAUGAUCAGUGUACAGCUUUAAGUAAGAGGCAACCGCUGUAAGGCCCUCAAAUGAUAAAGUCCCACCAUCACACCCUCAUUAUCUGCCAACAAUUGCACAACGCUCAACAGGAAGAAGCCUCUGGAUCUUUCUCUCUAGUCUAGCUAAAGUUAUGUACGCCAAAGGGGCGAAUGUACCUACUGAGAACUGAGGAACAGAGAGUUGGACCUUAAAGAGUAAGGGCUUGGGGCUGGGGACUUGGCUCAGCGGUAGAGCGCUUGCCUAGCAAGCGCAAGGCCCUGGGUUCGGUCCCCAGCUCCGGAAAAAAGGAAAAGAGGAAAAAAAAAAAAAAGUAAGGGCUUGGGGUUGGGGAUUUGGCUCAGCGGUAGAGCGCUUGCCUAGCGAGUGCAAGGCCCUGGGUUCGGUCCCCAGCUCCUAAAAAAAGAAAAAAGA